AUUUUGGGGUGAAUUUGGGGGAUUUUGGGGGUUCCUGUUGGAAUUUUGGGGUAAAUUUGGGAGGUUCAUGUUCCAUUUCGGGGUGAAUUUAGGAGAUUUUGGGGUGAUUUUGGGAUUUCCCAGAUGAAUUUUGGGGUGAAUUUAGCAGAUUUUGGGGUUCCCGUUGCAUUCUGGGAUCCCCCCCAGGUUCGGCGCAGUCAGCGAUUGGCCGGCAGCUCCAGGCCCCGCCCCCAGAGCAGCCGCAGCCAAUCAGAGGCUGGGAUUGAACAGACCACGCCCUCCGUGCCCGUAGAAGGAAAUGGGCGUGGCUUAGGCUCGGCCACGCCCCCGCCAGAGGAGGAGCAGCCAGCAGGGGGCGCCAAGAGCCGGCUCCGCCCCCAGAGAGAAGCGGGCCCCGCCCACAUCCGGGUAAGGACCAGUAUAGACCAGCAUGGACCAGCAUGGACCAGUAUAGAGCAGCAUGGACCAGUAUGGACCAGCAUGGACCAGUAUGGACCAGUAUAGACCAGGAUGGACCAGUAUAGAGCAGUAUAGUUCAGUAUGGAGCAGUAUAGAGCAGUAUAAACCACUAUAGACCAGUAUGGACCAGUAUGGACCAGUGUAGACCAGCAUGGACCAGUAUGGACCAGCAUGGACCAGUAUGGACCAGCAUAAACCAGUAUAGACCAGUAUAAACCACUAUAGACCAGUAUAGACCAGUAUGGAGCAGUAUAGAGCAGUUUAGACCAGUAUGGACCAGCCCAGACCAGCAUAAACCAGUAUGGACCAGUAUAAACCAGUUUAGAGCAGUAUAGACCAGUAUGGACCAGAAUAGACCAGUCAUGGACCAGUAUAGAGCAGUAUGGACCAGUAUAGAUCAGUACAAAGCAGUAUAGACUGGUAUGGACCGGUAUCAAGCAGUUUACACCAAUUUAGACCAGUAUGGACCAGCCCAGACCAGCAUAAACCAGUAUGGACCAGUAUAAACCAGUUUAGAGCAGUAUAGACCAGUAUGGACCAGAAUAGACCAGUCAUGGACCAGUAUAGAGCAGUAUGGACCAGUAUAGAUCAGUACAAAGCAGUAUAGACUGGUAUGGACCGGUAUCAAGCAGUUUACACCAAUAUGGACCAGUAUAGACCAGUAUGGACCAGUAUAGACCAGUAUGGACCAGUAUAGACCAGUAUAGAGCAGUAUGGACCAGUAUAGAUCAGUACAAAGCAGUAUAGACUGGUACGGACCGGUAUCAAGCUGUUUACACCAGUAUAGACCAGUAUGGACCAGUAUAGACCAGUGUAGAGACCCCCCCCCCCCCCCCCCCCCCCCCCCCCCCCCCCCCCCCCCCCCCCCCCCCCCCCCCCCCCCCCCCCCCCCCCCCCCCCCCCCCCCCCCCCCCCCCCCCCCCCCCCCCCCCCCCCCCCCCCCCCCCCCCCCUAUGGACCAGUAUAGACCAGUAUGGACCAGUAUAGACCAGUAUGGACCAGUAUAGACCAGUAUAGAGCAGUAUGGACCAGUAUGGACCAGAAUAGACCAGUAUGGACCAGUAUAGACCAGUAUAGACAAUUAUGGACAAUUAUGGACCAGUAUGGACCAGUAUAAACCGAUAUGGACCAGUACAGACCAGUAGAAACCAGUAUAGACUAUUGUGGUCUAGUAUGAACAAGUACAGAUCAGGAUAAACCAGCAUGGGCCAGCAUGGACCAGUAUGGACCAAUAUAAACCAGUAUGGACCAGCGUAAACCAGUAUAGGCCAGUACAGGCCGGUAUAGACUAUUAUAAACCAGUAUAAACCAGUAUGGGCCAGUAAGGAGCAGUAUGGACCAGUAUGGGCCUAUAUAAACCAAAAUGGACCAGUAUGAAACAGUAGGGACCAGUACAGACCAGUAUAAACCAGUAUAGACCAGUAUGGCGCAGUUCCCCCCAUCCCCCCCAGCUCUGUCCCCAGCUGCUCUUCCAUGGAGUGGUGGCACCUGGGGAUGUCCCCAAAGUGUCCCCAAUGUCCCCAAAGUGUCCCCAAUGUCCCCCCCCCCCCCCCCCCCCCCCCCCCCCCCCCCCCCCCCCCCCCCCCCCCCCCCCCCCCCCCCCCCCCCCCCCCCCCCCCCCCCCCCCCCCCCCCCC
Molecule: long non-coding RNA, 2095 nt
Organism: Ficedula albicollis (Collared flycatcher)
Lineage: Eukaryota; Metazoa; Chordata; Aves; Passeriformes; Muscicapidae
Source: Ensembl